Molecule: ribosomal RNA, 311 nt
Filed under: Staphylococcus agnetis
Lineage: Bacteria; Bacillati; Bacillota; Bacilli; Caryophanales; Staphylococcaceae
Description: bacterial LSU rRNA
Rfam family: Bacterial large subunit ribosomal RNA
Source: RNAcentral
CAGAACGUCGUGAGACAGUUCGGUCCCUAUCCGUCGUGGGCGUAGGAAAUUUGAGAGGAGCUGUCCUUAGUACGAGAGGACCGGGAUGGACAUACCUCUGGUGUACCAGUUGUCGUGCCAACGGCAUAGCUGGGUAGCUAUGUAUGGACGGGAUAAGUGCUGAAAGCAUCUAAGCAUGAAGCCCCCCUCAAGAUGAGAUUUCCCAACUUCGGUUAUAAGAUCCCUCAAAGAUGAUGAGGUUAAUAGGUUCGAGGUGGAAGCGUAGCGAUACGUGGAGCUGACGAAUACUAAUCGAUCGAAGACUUAAUCAA